This 67-nucleotide transfer RNA is filed under the name Marmota monax (woodchuck). Its description in RNAcentral is "tRNA.Ala". The record is from RNAcentral. Lineage: Eukaryota; Metazoa; Chordata; Mammalia; Rodentia; Sciuridae.
GGUUCCGGCUCAGCGGCAGAGCGCUCGCCUAGCAUGUGUGAGGCCCUGGGUUCAAUCCUCAGCACCA